RNAcentral lists this microRNA precursor (105 nucleotides) under Canis lupus familiaris (dog). RNAcentral describes it as "mir-8834 microRNA precursor family". It matches the Rfam family "mir-8834 microRNA precursor family". Lineage: Eukaryota; Metazoa; Chordata; Mammalia; Carnivora; Canidae. The record is from Rfam by way of RNAcentral. RNAcentral also lists the same sequence under 1 other name.
AGGAGGAACAGCCCCAGUGGCGGGGCCAGCUCUGGAGCCCUGGAGUCACCUCCUGCAGUAACUCCGGAGCUCUCGGUCUGCAGGGCCUGGAGGCUCUGGGGCGGG